CCUACGGGAGGCAGCAGUGGGGAAUCUUGCGCAAUGGGCGAAAGCCUGACGCAGCCAUGCCGCGUGAAUGAUGAAGGUCUUAGGAUUGUAAAAUUCUUUCACCGGGGACGAUAAUGACGGUACCCGGAGAAGAAGCCCCGGCUAACUUCGUGCCAGCAGCCGCGGUAAUACGAAGGGGGCUAGCGUUGCUCGGAAUUACUGGGCGUAAAGGGAGCGUAGGCGGAUAGUUUAGUCAGAGGUGAAAGCCCAGGGCUCAACCUUGGAAUUGCCUUUGAUACUGGCUAUCUUGAGUGUGGGAGAGGUUAGCGGAACUCCGAGUGUAGAGGUGAAAUUCGUAGAUAUUCGGAAGAACACCAGUGGCGAAGGCGGCUAACUGGCCCAUUACUGACGCUGAGGCUCGAAAGCGUGGGGAGCAAACAGGAUUAGAUACCCUGGUAGUCCACGCCGUAAACGAUGAGUGCUAGUUGUCGGCAUGCAUGCAUGUCGGUGACGCAGCUACGACAUAAGACACUCCGCCGUCGGGGAGGUACGGUCGGCGAAGAAGUUAAACGUAACUAAAGUAAGUUAAGUUAGUACGUUGUUAGAGCGCGACGACGACGACGACGGAGGAGGAGG
RNAcentral lists this ribosomal RNA (615 nucleotides) under uncultured bacterium. RNAcentral describes it as "bacterial SSU rRNA". The stretch from base 1 to 517 matches the Rfam family "Bacterial small subunit ribosomal RNA", at positions 338 to 873 of the family's 1533-position model. The record is from RNAcentral.